This 460-nucleotide ribosomal RNA is filed under the name uncultured bacterium. RNAcentral describes it as "partial 16S ribosomal RNA". It matches the Rfam family "Bacterial small subunit ribosomal RNA", at positions 338 to 795 of the family's 1533-position model. The record is from RNAcentral.
CCUACGGGUGGCAGCAGUGAGGAAUAUUGGUCAAUGGACGAGAGUCUGAACCAGCCAAGUAGCGUGAAGGAUGACUGCCCUAUGGGUUGUAAACUUCUUUUAUAUGGGAAUAAAAUGUUCCACGUGUGGGAUUUUGUAUGUACCAUAUGAAUAAGGAUCGGCUAACUCCGUGCCAGCAGCCGCGGUAAUACGGAGGAUCCGAGCGUUAUCCGGAUUUAUUGGGUUUAAAGGGAGCGUAGGUGGAUUGGUAAGUCAGUUGUGAAAGUUUGCGGCUCAACCGUAAAAUUGCAGUUGAAACUGGCAGUCUUGAGUAAAGUAGAGGUGGGCGGAAUUCGUGGUGUAGCGGUGAAAUGCUUAGAUAUCACGAAGAACUCCGAUUGCGAAGGCAGUUCACUGGACUGCAACUGACACUGAGGCUCGAAAGUGUGGGUAUCAAACAGGAUUAGAUACCCUUGUAGUC